Molecule: ribosomal RNA, 207 nt
Filed under: uncultured bacterium
Lineage: Bacteria
Description: partial 16S ribosomal RNA
Rfam family: Bacterial small subunit ribosomal RNA
Source: RNAcentral
CACGUAGGCGGAUCUUUAAGUCAGAGGUGAAAUCCCAAGGCUCAACCUUGGAACUGCCUUUGAUACUGGGGAUCUCGAGUCCGGGAGAGGUGAGUGGAACUGCGAGUGUAGAGGUGAAAUUCGUAGAUAUUCGCAAGAACACCAGUGGCGAAGGCGGCUCACUGGCCCGGAACUGACGCUGAGGUGCGAAAGCGUGGGGAGCAAACA